Molecule: non-coding RNA, 28 nt
Filed under: Bombyx mori (domestic silkworm)
Lineage: Eukaryota; Metazoa; Arthropoda; Insecta; Lepidoptera; Bombycidae
Source: RNAcentral
UCUUUACCUGGUGACCUAGCACUGAACC